RNAcentral lists this transfer RNA (62 nucleotides) under Purohita sinica. RNAcentral's name for it is "tRNA-Gly". The record is from RNAcentral. Lineage: Eukaryota; Metazoa; Arthropoda; Insecta; Hemiptera; Delphacidae.
UUUUUCUUAGUAUAAAAAGUAUAUUUAACUUCCAAUUAAAAGGUUUAUUAAUUAAGAAAAAA